This is a long non-coding RNA of Lolium rigidum, 1375 nucleotides long. RefSeq lists it as uncharacterized. Lineage: Eukaryota; Viridiplantae; Streptophyta; Magnoliopsida; Poales; Poaceae. The transcript is spliced from 3 exons. The record is from RefSeq and is a predicted model, not a curated record.
CGCACGAGCGAGUAGAGGCAGUUCGUGCUGCUGGGGAGCGGCCCCGAAAUCAUCCCUGGACCUGGAGCGAUUGGACCGGGCCGGAGCAGAACCUGGACCUGCUCUGAUGUCGGUUGUGGCAAGAAUGAAGCGGGUCAGGGGCGCCGGCGGUAGGUGGUGAUGCGGUGCACCAAGCUGAGGUGCGGGCGCUGGUGCCGUGCUGCCAUGGCGGGGAUUGGUGGCGUCCUGUUCAUGCAAUCAGCCAAUCAUGCAGCAGCAGCUGCUGCCGAUUGAUGCAGGGAGUGGUGUCCAUGUGGUGAUGAGGUGCACGACAGGCAAGGCCUUCUUGCGUUGGAAGGCCAGCCCGUCGGCCUGCUCUCUCGAUGGAUUGGUUCUGCCCUUGCGUGGUCAAACCAACGCACAUAUGCGUGAACCUCUUCACGUUCUUCAGACUCUUCAGCGUAUUUGCUCUUCACACAGAGAACUAGAAACACGCCCCAACCAGGUUUACGAAUUCGUGGUGGAGUAGCGGGAUGGCGGCGCAUAGGAGGUGAAGCUUCGAGUUGGUGUGCCUCGGCAACAAGAUCCAAUACGAUUUCGAAUCAAUCUGGUGAACAACACCGGAACCCUCGCUCGCCCGGGCCUCUGUCGCGCUUAUACACGCCGGCAAUCGCCGGUGUCCAUCAGGUCGGUCUCGACCUUGCCACGGUGCGGGCCGUCGAGAGCGAUGCGUUCCUGGAGGUUGCCAGGAACAAAGCCACGGAGAGUAUUUCGUUGAGUUGCUCGAGUUUUCACUGCCGGCGGCGGCAUCGACUACACCAGGAACGUGAGCGUCUACUUCGCCAAGGUCCGUGACAUAGUUUGAGGGGAUUCUUGGUAAGACGAAGAUUGCAGCCAUUUGAUAGUUGGCUUGGUUUCAAAAGAUUGCUAGGACGACACUAACAUAGCACUACGUAGGUAGUCCGUACUAGCAAGCAGAAGAUGUGAACAAGUUGAAUGAACACCCAUUCUUCUUAAUAUUCUAAGCGCUCAAAUGCAUGGUUUGGGAAAACCGUGAGGACAACAGUGAUAUAAUAAUUAAACACAAAGUGAUAUAAUAAUUAACACACUGGUUUUAGGUGCUACAAGAGGUGAUGCUAGAGCAGAAAAAUUUCAGGCCAACACACGGGGAGGAAGUAAGUUCGAGAGAAAAGGAGAGGGGAGGGUGGUGCAAGCGAGCAUGGAAAUAGGGCAGAGCCAGGGAGGAGGAACAGGGGUGGAGCCUUGCCGGUGAAAAGUAGGAGGCCACGUGAUGAGGACAUUCCUACUACACCACUACCUCCGUCAUUGAUAAAUGAAGAUGAACCUGCUGUGAAGCUCAAGUCCAAUGAAGUUCGGAUUGGACCAAUUACAAGGG